Molecule: unclassified non-coding RNA, 305 nt
Filed under: uncultured Alternaria
Lineage: Eukaryota; Fungi; Ascomycota; Dothideomycetes; Pleosporales; Pleosporaceae
Description: sequence contains ITS1
Rfam family: 5.8S ribosomal RNA (bases 1-105)
Source: RNAcentral
GAAAUGCGAUAAGUAAUGUGAAUUGCAGAAUUCAGUGAAUCAUCGAAUCUUUGAACGCACAUUGCGCCCUUUGGUAUUCCAAAGGGCAUGCCUGUUCGAGCGUCAUUUGUACCCUCAAGCUUUGCUUGGUGUUGGGCGUCUUGUCUCCAGUUCGCUGGAGACUCGCCUUAAAGUCAUUGGCAGCCGGCCUACUGGUUUCGGAGCGCAGCACAAGUCGCGCUCUCAUCCAGCCAAGGUCUAGCAUCCAUUAAGCCUUUUUUUCAACUUUUGACCUCAGAUCAGGCGGGAAAACCCGCUGAACUUAA